GGGGGUACAGCUCAGCAGUAGAGUUUGGCCUUAGCAUCAACAAGGUCCUGGGUUCAAUUCCCAGCACCUCCA
RNAcentral lists this transfer RNA (72 nucleotides) under Camelus bactrianus (Bactrian camel). It matches the Rfam family "tRNA". Rfam says of the family: Transfer RNA (tRNA) molecules are approximately 80 nucleotides in length. The record is from Rfam by way of RNAcentral. RNAcentral also lists the same sequence under 1 other name. Lineage: Eukaryota; Metazoa; Chordata; Mammalia; Artiodactyla; Camelidae.